CUCGUCCGCCCCGUGGACGCUGCUGACCAGCAGGGCCCGCCCCGGUUACCCUGGCGGCGUGCGCCCCCGGGGAGAGUGCCACGGGUGGCGCAAAGCCGACAGCCGUCGCACUUCGAGGGAGCCCUUUUCAUG
This 132-nucleotide small RNA is filed under the name Streptomyces sp. MMG1533. Its description in RNAcentral is "Streptomyces-metH RNA". It matches the Rfam family "Streptomyces-metH RNA". The record is from Rfam by way of RNAcentral. Lineage: Bacteria; Bacillati; Actinomycetota; Actinomycetes; Kitasatosporales; Streptomycetaceae.